GUCGAAGCCCGGGCAGGAAGCCUCCAUGCCGGGUGAAGAGGGAACCCGGUGGGAAUCCGGGACUGUCCCGCAGCGGUAUGCAGGAACGACCGCCGUCAUGAGCACUGGGCACCGCCCGGGAAGCGACGGCCAGUAGGUCGGCCGAGUUCGGCCGGUGCCCGCGAGUCCGAAGACCUGCCGACUGUGCCGGAUACGC
Molecule: non-coding RNA, 196 nt
Filed under: Nocardia asteroides
Lineage: Bacteria; Bacillati; Actinomycetota; Actinomycetes; Mycobacteriales; Nocardiaceae
Also listed under: 1 other name
Source: RNAcentral